AGUGAACGCUGGCGGUAGGCCUAACACAUGCAAGUCGAACGGCAGCACAGUAAGAGCUUGCUCUUACGGGUGGCGAGUGGCGGACGGGUGAGGAAUACAUCGGAAUCUACUUUUUCGUGGGGGAUAACGUAGGGAAACUUACGCUAAUACCGCAUUCGACCUACGGGUGAAAGCAGGGGAUCUUCGGACCUUGCGCGAUUGAAUGAGCCGAUGUCGGAUUAGCUAGUUGGCGGGGUAAAGGCCCACCAAGGCGACGAUCCGUAGCUGGUCUGAGAGGAUGAUCAGCCACACUGGAACUGAGACACGGUCCAGACUCCUACGGGAGGCAGCAGUGGGGAAUAUUGGACAAUGUGCGCAAGCCUGAUCCAGCCAUACCGCGUGGGUGAAGAAGGCCUUCGGGUUGUAAAGCCCUUUUGUUGGGAAAGAAAAGCAGCAGGUUAAUACCCCGCUGUUCUGACGGUACCCAAAGAAUAAGCACCGGCUAACUUCGUG
RNAcentral lists this ribosomal RNA (492 nucleotides) under uncultured bacterium. RNAcentral describes it as "partial 16S ribosomal RNA". It matches the Rfam family "Bacterial small subunit ribosomal RNA", at positions 29 to 507 of the family's 1533-position model. The record is from RNAcentral.